RNAcentral lists this ribosomal RNA (253 nucleotides) under uncultured bacterium. RNAcentral's name for it is "partial 16S ribosomal RNA". It matches the Rfam family "Bacterial small subunit ribosomal RNA", at positions 524 to 776 of the family's 1533-position model. The record is from RNAcentral.
UACGAAGGGUGCAAGCGUUAAUCGGAAUUACUGGGCGUAAAGCGUGCGCAGGCGGUUUUGUAAGCCAGAUGUGAAAUCCCCGGGCUUAACCUGGGAAUGGCAUUUGGGACUGCAAGGCUUGAGUGCGGCAGAGGAGACUGGAAUUCCUGGUGUAGCAGUGAAAUCCGUAGAUAUCAGGAGGAACACCGGAGGCGAAGGCGGCCAACUGGCGAUGCAUUGACGCUGAGGUGCGAAAGCGUGGGGAGCAAACAGG